This is a long non-coding RNA of Austrofundulus limnaeus, 696 nucleotides long. RefSeq lists it as uncharacterized. The transcript has 3 exons. Lineage: Eukaryota; Metazoa; Chordata; Actinopteri; Cyprinodontiformes; Rivulidae. The record is from RefSeq and is a predicted model, not a curated record.
ACCUUCAUUCCUCUGGUGCUGAGCGGGUUCUGUUCGGUUCUGUUAGUCAGCCAUGGUGGAAGGUGAUGACUAACUCUCUGACUGUGGAGGGUCGACCUGAUUUCAUGAUGAAGGACCUGAAACCCACCAGAUGAUUUCAUUAUUUUAGCUGUUUGUGAGAUGAAACAGACGAGCUGGAGAACGGAGGCAGAGAUAAUGAAGUCUCCCUCAGAAAACUUCAGCUGCAGCCUGAAGACCUGAGCUCUGAUCCUUCCUGGUCUUUGAGCUGCCUGGUUUCCCUCGGUCCUGGUCCCUCCAAGUCUACACUCAGCUGCAGACCCAGGUCCUGGAUCGGAUCCAUCUGUGAAGGAUUGACAAAGACCUCAAUCUGAACUCUGGUCCAACUGAGUCCAGAUUUCCUGAGCAGACGGUGUGCUGCAUGACGAGGCCUCCGGGCUGCAGUCGGGUCAGAGGCUGAUGGAGUCAGGAAAAGAAAAGCAGCUAAAACAUCUGAAGGUCUGCUUAAUCCUGAGUAUAUGUUUAAUCCUGAGUAUAAGGUGUUUAAUUCUGAGUAUAAGAUGGUUAAUCCUGAGUAUAAGACAUUUAAUCCUGAGUAUAAGGUGUUUAAUUCUGAGUAUAUGUUUAAUCCUGAGUAUAUGUGUAAUUCUGAGUAUAUGUUUAAUCCUGAGUAUAAAAUGUUUAAUCCUGAGUAUAAUA